Non-coding RNA from Elasticomyces elasticus, 139 nucleotides. The record is from the annotation of a GenBank genome assembly. Lineage: Eukaryota; Fungi; Ascomycota; Dothideomycetes; Mycosphaerellales; Teratosphaeriaceae.
GGCCGUUUGGCUCAAUGGUAGAGCGUCCGCCUCCUAUGCAACCGCAAUAGUUCAGCGGAAGGUGUACGUCAGUCGACAUGACUGCAAAAGAGAAUCCGACUGACCCGCCUUAGUGUGGGUUCGAGUCCCAUGAUGGGUA